This 75-nucleotide ribosomal RNA is filed under the name Brevibacillus thermoruber. Lineage: Bacteria; Bacillati; Bacillota; Bacilli; Caryophanales; Paenibacillaceae. The record is from RNAcentral.
UCUGGUGACGAUGGCGGAGGGGACACACCCGUUCCCAUUCCGAACACGGCCGUUAAGCCCUCCAGCGCCGAUGGU